Molecule: ribosomal RNA, 406 nt
Filed under: uncultured bacterium
Lineage: Bacteria
Description: partial 16S ribosomal RNA
Rfam family: Bacterial small subunit ribosomal RNA
Source: RNAcentral
AUUGAACGCUGGCGGCAGGCUUAACACAUGCAAGUCGAGCGAGAGGAGGACGGGUGAGUAAUGUCUGGGACACUGCCUGAUGGAGGGGGAUAACUACUGGAAACGGUAGCUAAUAACGCAUACCAGCAGAUGUGCCCAGAUGGGAUUAGCUAAGAGUUGGUGUAAUGGUUCACCUAGUCGACGAUCCCUAACUGGUCUGCGAGGAUGACCAGCCACACUGGAACUGAGAGACGGUCCAGACGCAUACGGGAGGCAGCAGUGGGGAAUAUUGCACAAGGGGCGCAAGCCUGAUGCAGCCAUGCCGCGUGUGUGAAGAAGGCCUUCGGGUUGUAAAGCACUUUCAGCGAGGAGGCGUUACUCGCAGAAGAAGCACCGGCUAACGCCGUGCCAGCAGCCGCGGUAAUAC